UUUGCACCCUAACCCAAAGAUCCCACCAUGCCCGUGGUGUGAUGUUGCCUGGUGUGCACACACUAACGGGUCCUUGUCGCCUUUCUCUGACGCUGCCGUGACUCUGAAAGUGAAUCCAAGGGCCCACAUCU
Platichthys flesus (European flounder) is the source of this 131-nucleotide small nucleolar RNA. RefSeq annotates it as small nucleolar RNA SNORA68. The record is from RefSeq and is a predicted model, not a curated record. The transcript has a single exon. NCBI's taxonomy places the organism in Eukaryota, Metazoa, Chordata, Actinopteri, Pleuronectiformes, Pleuronectidae.